Long non-coding RNA from Pecten maximus, 1061 nucleotides. RefSeq lists it as uncharacterized. The transcript is spliced from 2 exons. NCBI's taxonomy places the organism in Eukaryota, Metazoa, Mollusca, Bivalvia, Pectinida, Pectinidae. The record is from RefSeq and is a predicted model, not a curated record.
GCUUUAGUUAAAACGAAAGUUGGUUUUCCAAUUUAACAAACGUUGGACUUUGACAACAAAAUCAAGAAUUUGUUUGAACAUUGAGUGGCUCAUUGGUGACGAUGGAGAUGCAGAAACGUGAAACAUUGGCAAGACAACGUUACAACGAUCUCAAGGUCGACAUAGCAACCAAUUUUAUAUCUGACAACGUACCUCAAAAUCUGUCUGUGUUCCGAACGCAAUGUGGAGGAUAUCUGGGCGGCCCAGCAAAGCACAUGAAUCUUCAAUUCUUGGAUAUAUGUAUUAAUUUGGAGAGUAACAGUACAAUUUCGUACAAGAAUCUCCAAGCUUUGAAAGAUAUAUUAAAGAAAUUGCCGAUAGAGGGAGAUGCAAUGGUGAAAUUGGUGGAUAGCGCUGAACAGGAAAUCAAAAACAUAUUGUCAGGUACUUUAUGAAACAUUUAUGACAUGGCCAAUUUUCACAUUUUUGUUUCUACUGGCGGUCGAUUUCCGACAUUCGGAAUGAGCAAAUAUCUUGAAAGAGAUUCCGGUAUUCAUUUGAUUUGUUCUGAAUAACCACAAGACGUAACGUCUUGAUACAUGUCAACUAACUCCCUCAACAAAGUCAUACUUAUAUUAGGUUCGCACACUCAAAUGACCUUGGCAUUCUGGAUGGAAUAUUGAUAUUUCUUAAUUUCCAGCAAAACCGCAUCAGAUAAGUUUGCAAAUAUUACGUCAUGCAGUUCUGAAUUGAAUACAAAUUUACGAUUAGUCAGAAUAUAUUUUGUUUCAAUUAAUGCAGCCAGACCGUUUCGAUAAAGCUUCAAAAUCUACCUCCAACUCUAAGAUAUUAUGGUAUACUAUCUAGUUAAAACAGUAUUUUUUACGAUUGGUCAGAUCUUUAUUCCAUCGCCAAAGCCAACCGUUGUUUGUAUGUAAUACAUUUGUAUCCAUGUUAGAAGCUAUACUACAUUUUUAUGGCAAUGAUUUCAUCUAAGAACAAAAGAAGUAGUCUGGCUUAUAAUAUACAAUCGUGUCAACUGUGUCGGUUAUCUUAAAUAAAUUGCCUGUUACAUAUAUGAA